GCCUGUUGGGAACCCAGUGAAUUCUCCUCAAAAUGACAUUUAAUUUGUUGCUUUCAUAUGGUUGAGAUAGUCAAGAAGAAUGCAGUAGUAUUUGAAGAUCUUACACGUGUUUUUAACCUUAUCAGUUGUUGAUCUAGUCACAUUUUAAUGGUUUUUAUAUUUGGGACUGGGUAAUUUUUUUUUACCUUAUGUCCAACAAAGUUUAAUCUACUAUCCAU
RNAcentral lists this unclassified non-coding RNA (218 nucleotides) under Hevea brasiliensis (rubber tree). Lineage: Eukaryota; Viridiplantae; Streptophyta; Magnoliopsida; Malpighiales; Euphorbiaceae. The record is from RNAcentral.